AUUGAACGCUGGCGGCAUGCCUUACACACGCAAGUCGAACGGCAGCACGGACUUCGGUCUGGUGGCGAGUGGCGAACGGGUGAGUAAUGCAUCGGAACGUGCCAUUGAGUGGGGGAUAACGUAGCGAAAGUUGCGCUAAUACCGCAUAUUCUGUGAGCAGGAAAGCAGGGGACCGCAAGGCCUUGCGCUCUUUGAGCGGCCGAUGUCAGAUUAGCUAGUUGGUGAGGUAAAGGCUUACCAAGGCGACGAUCUGUAGCGGGUCUGAGAGGAUGAUCCGCCACACUGGAACUGAGACACGGUCCAGACUCCUACGGGAGGCAGCGGUGGGGAAUUUUGGACAAUGGGGGCAACCCUGAUCCAGCCAUGCCGCGUGAGUGAAGAAGGCC
This 386-nucleotide ribosomal RNA is filed under the name uncultured bacterium. Its description in RNAcentral is "bacterial SSU rRNA". It matches the Rfam family "Bacterial small subunit ribosomal RNA", at positions 30 to 416 of the family's 1533-position model. The record is from RNAcentral.